RNAcentral lists this small nuclear RNA (303 nucleotides) under Cebus imitator (Panamanian white-faced capuchin). Its description in RNAcentral is "7SK RNA (ENSCCAG00000009747.1)". The stretch from base 1 to 269 matches the Rfam family "7SK RNA". From Rfam's summary of the family: 7SK was discovered as an abundant small nuclear RNA in the mid-70s but a possible function has only recently been suggested. Two independent studies have found that 7SK RNA binds the CDK9/cyclin T complex (known as elongation factor P-TEFb). The record is from RNAcentral. Lineage: Eukaryota; Metazoa; Chordata; Mammalia; Primates; Cebidae.
GGAUGUGAGGGCCAUCUGGCUGCAACACCUGUCACCCCAUUGAUUCCACUGAUCUGGCUGGCUAGGCCAGUGUCCCCUUCCUCCCUCACUGCUCCACAUGCGUCCCUCCUGAACCUGUGUGCUGAGUCAAAGAGGACAACCAUCCCUCAGUCAAGGGCAUACGAGUAGCUGCACCCCGCUGCUGGAACCUCCAGACAAGCUCUCAAGUUCUCAGAUACCUUUGCAGCUAGAAAGACUAAUUCCAAAAGAAAGGACAUUUUUCUGUCUCUACAGAAAAGCCAAAGCUGUUCAAAAAUUUUUUUU